Molecule: long non-coding RNA, 134 nt
Organism: Pygocentrus nattereri (red-bellied piranha)
Lineage: Eukaryota; Metazoa; Chordata; Actinopteri; Characiformes; Serrasalmidae
Exons: 2
Source: RefSeq, a predicted model, not a curated record
CUUUGUUGUAAUCUGAGUGCACGGUGUUUAACAGGCGCAGCUGAGGGCACGAGAGAGAGAAACUAAUGAAGCCUGUUUAUUCGCCUUUUGUAAACUCUGUGCAGGUGGAGAAAAUAAAUGCUCCCUCAUGUUAA